Oncorhynchus mykiss (rainbow trout) is the source of this 2240-nucleotide non-coding RNA. NCBI's taxonomy places the organism in Eukaryota, Metazoa, Chordata, Actinopteri, Salmoniformes, Salmonidae. The record is from RefSeq and is a predicted model, not a curated record.
CCGGUUAUCGAGUUUACCUAGUCACUGCUCAAUUUGCCAUGAGUGAUGUGGCUAAUAUCGUUUACGAACAUUCCCAGGUGAAGAGAUCUAAACUUGAUAAGGAUACAAGUUCUUCCACAAACAAUAUAUAUUCAACUAUCAAUGUAAGUUAGUACUUGAAGCGACCAGUUGAGAUAGAUAGCUAACUAGCCAACUUUGCUAGCAAGCUAACAGUAGCUAAGACAUUACCAAAUUGGUUAGCGCUAACGUUACUUAUUAGAGGGCUUGCUUUUGUGUCACAAAUCACCUAGCAACCGCAUCAGACGCCAUGUUGGAAGACCAAAGUCAGUCUGUUGGAAGCCCUUCAACUGUUCACAUGGCUGGCUGGGUUGUGCUACCACUGGAAACAUUGACCAUUAUAGUAAUUCAUUUUUCUAAGGACCCAGAAAACGGAGGCAGUGGGAGAACCUAUUCUACUCAGGUACAGAGAGACUUAAAAAACCCUGUCUGCAGAUGAAGAGGUCCCAAUGACUGUCCGAGAGAAUGAGGGUACAUCCUUCUAUACCAUGGAUUAUAAGUGUACCUAUCACCCAAGGAGCCCGUCAUUGUAAACCACUUCUGUUCAUGUGCAGCUGGGAGAGCUUUGUGCAAUCUGGUGCCUCUACUCUUUCAAACUGCACAUUACACCACAAUGGGGUUGAAGACCGUGCCACCACCAUUGCCUUGCACAUGGGUACUGCAGUCAUGGUACAGGCCAAGUUUUGAAAUUGAGAUAAUUUUUCAUAUUGUCAUAGAGAAGACACAUUUAGCAUUUUUGUAAACUCAUAUUACUGCACAUUGUUUUACAUUCAUCCUGAAUCUUUAUUUUUUUUUACCGGAGCCCACUGAUGAAAUGCUUGUGAGAAAGCCAAGGACAUCAGGCAGGAGUGGCAUAAAAAACACUCUUUACCAAGGAAUCCCUGGGACCCUUCCUGACAUGACAGUGCUGUCUGCUGGACCAAGUUUGAGGAGCAUGAGACCACAGCCUGUCAUUGCCAAGGUGUUGCAUGGAUUGGAAGAAAUGACUCUCAAUUUGGUCCAGUGCUGUCAUAUUAGUGUCCCCUUACUGUCACCAGAGAUUCUAAUGCAUUCAGAUGCUCCUGCUUUCCCCCAACUCCCAGUAAAAUAAACAGUCAUUUAAACUUUGUCCCUACUUGCACUCAGUUUUACCACAUGGAGAGCUUAAAGGAGCCACCAUCAUUGUCAUCUACUAUUGAGAAUGGCACAGUCGAGCAGUCUGCCCAUCCACUAUGGAAGAAAUUAGGAAACCACGUGUGACUGCUACCCAGUUUAGUGAGGCAUGCCACUUGCGUGGGGUGUCAUCUCGCCAUGCCCUAGCCAUGAGAAUGCUUAAAAGUGAGCGGCAAACCGAAGCUAUGAGAAAGGGGUUUGAGCCAGAGGUUCUAUAGAACUACUCUGAAUUGUUUAAUGUCUCGGUCAAACCUUGUGAUUUCAUUGUGAACCCAGAUGCACCCUAUCUUGGGGCAUACCCUGACGGGAAAGUUUAUGACCCUUCUGCAGCGCCACCCUUCAGGCUAGCCGAGAUCAAGUGCCCUGAUGUUGAGUGUAACUGAUGCGAAGCACAUUAAGUUUGUCAAUGGCCCGGCCAAGCUCAAUCACAGCCACAAAUAUCACUGGCAAGUCCAGGGCCAACUGGCUGUAACCGGUUUAGAUUGAUGCGACUUUGUUACAAGCACUAGAAGUGAUAUUACAGUAGAGAGAGUUGAGAGAUGAUGCUUUGAUAGCAGAGAUGAGAGAAACUUGACUACUUCUACACCUACAUGGAUGUGUACUUUAAGAUGUAGUGUAGCAGGUGAGCCAAUCCCACUUGGCAGGCCACUGUAACAUUGUUGCCCAAGGCAAUGUACAUGUAAUGUAUUUAACUAAUCAAAAUUGUAUGUAGAGUAAAUUAUUUGAAUGAAUGAAUUGUGUGAUCUUGUUUGUCUAUCACAUGUGGCUCAGUUGGUUGAACAUGACGUUUGCAAUGCUAGGGUUGUGGGUUUGAUUCCCACAGGGGGACCAGUACGUCGUGAAAGAAUGAAAAUGUAUGCACUCACUACUGGAAGUCACUGGAUAAGAGCAUCUGCUAAAUGACUAAAAUGUAAAUGUAAGCAAUUAUUCAACUAAUUGAAUUGUUUGUUAUUUUAUGACCGGCUUAAUAUAACAGGUCACUGAAUGAAUAAUCAAAUGUAUUUAUUGAAUAAAAUCUUUAAAUUAAAAAA